GUGCUUGUUUUAGCAGCACAUAUGCUAAAGUUGGAAUGAUACAGAGAAGAUUAGCCUGGCCUCUGUGCCAGGAUGACGCACAUUUGUAAGGUGUUCCAUAAUUUU
This 105-nucleotide small nuclear RNA is filed under the name Vulpes vulpes (red fox). Lineage: Eukaryota; Metazoa; Chordata; Mammalia; Carnivora; Canidae. The record is from RNAcentral.